UGCCAGCCAGCCCCACGACACAGAGCACCACAGUGCCUCCGCGGGUUAUCCAAUCAGGCUCAGACUCUUCAGCAGAGCAGUUCAAGUGCUUUACAAUGAGACCCGAACAAUGCUGGCAAGCUCACCGGCCUCUCUAUCCCUACGUGUGUUCUUUGCUUGAAAUGACCUAUAAGCCUGUGAUACGGAAAAUCGGCGGCCGGCCGUUCUACUUCUGAAACAGAAUGCUUUUCCCACCCCCCACUGCUUUUUACUCUUCAAAACUGUACCGUGCACUCAAGGUCUCCCUUCAUUUGUCUCAACAGACACGGCACUGCGUGCAGAACAUUCUUCUUCUCUAUCUCCACCCACGUUGUGCUGUAAUGUUCUGAACUACUGAGAGACACGGCAUUGCGCACCGAACUACAGAGAAUGGCCACGUCCUCGGCAUGGUCUCCCUUAAGUCAUCUGAAGUGUCUAAGUCCCUUUCAGGGCGUGAAGUCUCAAUUUUAUUCUCUUUCUUUAGGUAUUUCUGGAACAGUUCAAUGUUACAGGGCAUCGGGGCUCCGGAAGCAGACUGCUUGGGAUCCGCUGUUUCCUACUUUGGGUACAUCUAUCUCCUCAACUAAAAGAGUAAAUAGUGACAUCUCAUAGACAAAAUCAGACCACUCUGUCCAUUUGACCCACGGAUAUGAUGGAAGAGUGCCUCAGGGGAGCAGAUACAGCACUGGAUUGGGAAGCUGACUUGAGCUCAACUGAAGUAAGUCACCCCGCUCUUAGUGAGACCAAGGGCAAGCCACUCAACAUCGAGUCUCAGUCUCAUCACCUUCAAAACGCUAGCGGGGGUUGGGGGGGGUGGAGCGGAGGGGCAAAACACUGUUCAUGCUACAUGACGCUAUUUUAACUUCUGUAAUUCUAAGAAAUGAAAGUAACAUCAUCACCAUUUUAAAAACUGCAUUUGUUAUGAAUGAAAAAGGCAGGUGUGCAGUAAGAUAUUAGGCCUUGCCUGGAUCUUUCUGGCAUUUUAACAAUGGUUCCAAGAACACCAUCAAGAGAACUUACUCAAGCAGGUUCCUGUGGUCUGAAUGAAAUUGUCCCAAACAUUUUUCAGUUGCCAUGUGCUAAUGAAAUGGAGAAGCCUUUAAAACAACACAUUAAAAAUUGCUGCUGUCAUUC
RNAcentral lists this long non-coding RNA (1152 nucleotides) under Mustela putorius furo (domestic ferret). Its description in RNAcentral is "lncRNA (ENSMPUG00000028581.1)". Lineage: Eukaryota; Metazoa; Chordata; Mammalia; Carnivora; Mustelidae. The record is from RNAcentral.